RNAcentral lists this ribosomal RNA (438 nucleotides) under uncultured bacterium. RNAcentral's name for it is "partial 16S ribosomal RNA". It matches the Rfam family "Bacterial small subunit ribosomal RNA", at positions 29 to 507 of the family's 1533-position model. The record is from RNAcentral.
AACGAACGCUGGCGGCAUGCCUAACACAUGCAAGUCGAACGAGACCUUCGGGUCUAGUGGCGCACGGGUGCGUAACGCGUGGGAACCUGCCCUUAGGUUCGGAAUCACUCCCCGAAAGGGGUGCUAAUACCGGUUAAUGUCUUCGGACCAAAGAUUUGUCGCCUUUGGAUGGGCCCGCGUUGGAUUAGCUAGUUGGUAGGGUAAUGGCCUAUCAAGGCUACGAUGGGUAGCUGGUCUGAGAGGGUGACCGGCCACACUGGGAAUGAGACAAGGCCCAGACUCCUACGGGAGGCAGCAGUGGGGAAUAUUGCACAAUGGGCGGAAGCCUGAUGCAGAAACGCCGCGUGCGGGAUGAAGGCAUUAGGGUUGUAACCCGAUUUAGCCGGUGACGAAGCGUGAGUGACGGUAAUGGGUAAAGAAGCACCGGCUAACUACGUG